CCGUAUCAAGUUUUGGCACUGUUGCCGGGGAAAGGUGUUUAUUUUAUUUUUUUACUUUUUUUGUAAAUUUUCAUGUACCUUCCUUUUUUUAAAUUCUAUUCUAUCUACAAAAUCUUUCAGAAUUUCAGUUUUGCCCCAAAGAUCUUUGCUUCAGGCCCAUUCUUCUCAUAAUUGCAGUUUGACCACAAAUUAUAGAAAAAUUUUUAAUAGGUCUCUUGCCAAAAUUUCCCAUAAUACUCAAACUUGGACCUACAACUUGAACUUCUUUUGACCAUAUUUAGACUUUUUUGGACCUUAUUUGGACUCAAUAAAAAGGACAUUGACUUUAAAAAUUACUACGAAGGCCCAUUAAUUUGAAUUAAUCACUUAAUUGGUUGGUAAUUUUUAAAAUUUGAAAAAACGAAAAUGAGUCUACACUUUGAGAUAAUUAUUUCUUUUCUUUCUUUCUUUUUUUAUUUCUGUAAUUUAAUUUACGCAUUUAUUUUAUUUUUCUAUUUGGCAUUUACUUUGUUUAUAUGUUUGGUUUAUCGCCUAUUUAGUUAUUUUAAUUUCAGUUAAUUAAUUUUCAGUUUAUUUAUUUUUAUUUUACAUUUUUUUGUACAUUUAUCUUGUUUAUUUAAUUUUCAUUUUGUUUUUAAUUUGUGUAAUUUUCAUUUUUUUACGUUAUUCAUUUGUUUGUGUAUCACCUUUACAACAUAAUUUCACACACACACGUCAUCAUCAUCCUUGCAUGAGACGUUGGUCUCGAACUUCAAGUGGCAGGUUAAUUCGUAUAUCUCAAUCACCGUCACCAAUCAUAGACGAGAUCCAACACGAAAACAUUUUGGGCCAACUUAAUCCUCCAAUUGAUCAGGGAGACAAUCAAUCUCAACAUGAUCAAAAUCAACCAAGAACUUUAAGAGACUACAUGAAUCCAACGAGAAUCGAAGCACCGUCGUGUAUAGUAUUUCCUCCAAAAGCAUAUUGAUUCAACUUAAAACUCGGUAUUAUCCAACUUUUACCAACAUUUCAUGGUUUAAAAUAUGAGAAUUCAUGCUUGCAUCUAAGAGAUUUUGAAGAAGUGUUACACACAUACACAAACCAAAAUUGUAGCAUGAAUGUAAUUAGAUUAAAAUAUUUCCUUUUUCAUUAAAAGAUAAAGCUAAAACUUAGGUACAAAACCUUAGAUAUGGAUCAAUAAAAUCUUGGAAUAACAUUCAAGAACAAUUUUUUUUAAAAUUAUUUCCACCUUAUAAAACCAAUUCUUUUAAAAGGAAAAUCACUUCUUUCACUAAAAAAAAAUAGAGAAACAUUAUACCAAUGUUGGGAUAGAUUUAAAGAAUUGCUUAACAUAUGUCCACACCAUGGUUUUGAAACUUGGCGAUUGGUCACUUAUUUCUACGAGGGCUUAACACCACAAAGUAGACAAGUUGUAGAAAUGGUGUAAUGGUGAAUUUAGAGAUAAAAAUCCUGAAGAUGCACUAGCUUAACUUGACCAAUUAAUUGAAAAUGCACAACAUUGGGAUACUGUUGGAGCUUUUGAAUUGACAAAUAAAUCACAACCAUCUCUAUCAAGUGGAGGAAUCCAUAACCUAAGGGAAGAUCAUGAUUUACAAGUAAAAUUUGCAUCCCUAGUUAGAAAGGUUGAAGCUUUGGAGAGUAAAAAGAGGGAUCACGUAAAAUCUGUUCAAAAAAUUGCAUGUGAUGUUUAUAGUUCUAAUGAUCAUUUCACUCAAGAUUGUCCCACUCUGCCUGCACUUAAAGAAUGUUUGCAUGAUCAAGCUAAUGCCAUUAACACUUUUAAUAAGUCAAAUAUUUAUUCUCAAACUUAUAAUUCUGGUUAGAGAAAUCAUCCAAAUUUUAGUUUGAGGAUAAUACCACCUCCACAAAAUUUCCAAAAUGCUUAGCCUUAUGCACCUUAUGUUCCACCACCAUGAAAAAAUUUGGAAGAUAUAAUGCAUUCAUUCAUUAGGAAGCAAGAUGCUAUGAACAAUCAAAUUGCACAAACCUUUUAUUAUUUGAAAGAUACUCUUGCUAAAAUCACUUAUGCACUCACAAUUGAAGGAAAAGCAAAACUUCCAGCUCAACCACAACCAAAUCCUAAGAUUCAACAAAAUUUACCCAUAGAUCAAGUCAAGUCAGUUAUAACUCUUUGUGGUGGUAAGGUUAUUGAUAAACCUGUUUCUAAACCAUGUGAAGAUAAAGACAAUGAAAAUUCAAAGGGUAAGGAAGGGCUUAAUAAACUUACAACUAGUGAAGAAAUAAUUAUUGUUCCAUUUGAACCACCAUUUCUGUAUGCAUUGAAUAAACUAAGGAAAUCAAACAACUCUUCUGAAAUUUAUGAAAUCUUUAAGCAAUUGAAAGUUAACAUUCCUCUAUUAGAUGCAAUCAAGCAGGUACCUUCAUAUUCUAAAUUUUUAAAGGACUUAUGCACAGUCAAGAGGAAAUUAACGGUAAAAAAAAGUGCUUUCAUGGCUGAACAGGUAAGUACCAUUUUGUCUACUACUAAUAAGUUGAAAUACAAAGAUUCUGGUUGUCCUACUAUUUCUUGUAUUAUUGGAGAUCACAAAAUUGAGCAUUUAUUGUUGGAUCUUGGUGUUAGUGUUAAUUUGCUUCCAUAUUUAGUCUAUCUUCAACUUAAUCUAAGUGAGUUAAAAUCAACUUCAACUACACUUUUGCUUGCCAACAGAUCAAUUAAAGUACUAAAAGGAAUAUUGGAAGAUAUUUUUGUACAAGUUGAUAAAUUCAUAUACCUUGUAGAUUUUAUUGUCUUAGAAAUUGAACCUGUUUUGAAUAAUUAUAAACCAAUUCCUUUAAUUUUGGGUCGACUAUUUUUAGCAACUGUUAAUGCUUUGAUUAAUUAUAGGAAUGGUUUAAUAUAUUUGUUGUUUGGAAAUAUGACUCUGGAAUUGAAUGUUUUUAACAUGUGCAGGCAACCUAAUGAAGAAAAUGAGAAUAAAGAUGAGAUUGAUGAAUAAAAGGAAUUGCUUGAAUCUUGUAUAGAAGAGAAUAUUCAAAAAGGGAAUUUUUCUAAACUUAGCGAUAUUUGUUUGGUAAAUUCAAUUGAAUCAAAUAAGUAACUUGAACAUGAUACUUCUAAUAUAAAUUUGUUGUUUGAUUCUUAUCAGACUUUACAAAAUGAUUAUGAGAAACCAAAAUUUGAGGAGCUUAGAAUCAUUGAAAAGAUUGAACAACAAGAAGCCCCUAAAUUGGAAUUGAAACCUUUGCUGGAGGGAUUGAAGUAUGCUUAUCUUAGAGAAGAACAAACUUAUCUUAUUGUGAUUUCUUCCAUUCUAACAAGUGACCAAGAAGGUAAGUUACUAUCUGUUCUUAAAAAGCAUAAAAACGCAAUUGGAUGGACUUUAAAUGAUAUUAAAGAUAUUAAUCCUUUAAUUUGUACACAUAGAAUCAAUUUGAAAGAAAAUGCUAAAACAUGUCAAUAACCUCAAAGAAGAUUAAACCCACACAUGAAAGAAGUAGUAAAGACAUAAAAUCCUUAAUUUGCUUAAUACGAGAAUUAUCUACCCUAUCUCUAAUAGUAAAUGGGUAAGUCAUACACAAGUAGUGUCUAAAAAAUUUGGAAUCACUAUUGUUAAAAAUGAAAAUGGUUAAUUAAUUCCAACACGAAUUACAUCUAGUUGGCGCAUGUGCAUUGAUUAUAGAAAGUUAAAUGAAGCCACUAUAAAAUAUCAUUUUCCAUUACUAUUUCUUGACCAAAUCUCAUAAAGAGUAGCUGGACAUCCCUACUAUUGCUUUUUAGAUGGAUGUUCAAGUUAUUAUCAAAUUCUUAUAGCACUUGAAGACCAAGAAAGAACCACAUUUACAUAUCCCUUUGGAACAAUUGCAUUUAAAAAGAAUGUCAUUUGGACUUUAUAAUGCUCUUGCAAAAUUUCAAAGAUGUAUGCUAAGUAUUUUCAAUGAUAUGGUUGAACAUUGUUUAGAUGUCUUUAUGGAUAAUUUGACUGUGUUUGUGAAUUCUUUUGAUGUUUGCCUUAAUAAUUUGGAAAAAAAUUUAAAAAGAUGUGUUGAAAAAGAACUCAUGUUGAAUUGGGAAAAAUGCCAUUACGUGAUUACUUCUGGAAUUGUUUUGGGUCAUGUUGUAUCUGUUAAAUGAAUUUAAGUCGACAAAGUAAAAAUUGAAGUCAUAUCUAAAUUGCCAUUAUAAAAAAUAGUUAAAGAUGUGCAAUCCUUUUUAAGACAUGCAAGAUUUUAUAGGAGGUUUACAAAAAACUUUAGUGCCAUAUCUAAACCACUUUGUAACCUCUUAUUAAAAGAUGCACUAUUUGAAUGGAUUGAUGAUUGUCAAAAAUCUUUUGAGAAAAUAAUUUGUCUUUUAACAUCUGCACCCAUUAUGCAAUCUCCUAAUUGGUCUUUGCCUUUUGAAUUAAUUUGCGAUGCAAGUGAUUUUGUUGUUGGUGUUGUUUUAAGACAAAGAAUGGAUGGUAAGCCGUUUAUGAUUUAUUAUACGAGUAAGACUUUGGAUAGUACUCAAAUGAAUUAUUCGACAACUGAAAAAGAAUUACUUAAUUUGGUGUUUGCAUUGAACAAAUUUCGUUCAUUUUUGCUUGGUUUUAAAACUGUUGUUUUUACUGACCACAUUGCUGUGAGAUAUUUGAUGACUAAACAGGAUGUCAAACCAAGACUAAUUCGUUGGAUUUUGUUAUUUCAAGAAUUUGACCUCACCAUCAAAGAUAAAAAGGAUGCCGAAAAUGUUGUUGCUGAUCAUUUAUCAAGACUAAUAUCUAAAUUCUGCACUGACAUAACACCCAUCAAUGACUCCUUCCCGGAUGAAUUUUUAUUUUCUGUUACCCCAAUGCCAUAGUAUGUUAACAUUGUUAAUUUCCUUGUUACAGGUAAAAUGCUUUUGCAAUGGAAUACUCAAGAGAAAAAGAAAUUCUUUGUUGAAGUAAAGAAAUUUUACUGGGAUGAUCCUUACUUGUUCAAAUAUUACCUUGAUCAAAUCUUCCGACAUUGUAUUCCUGAUAAUGAGGUAAGUAGUGUCAUUAAUUUUUGUCAUUCUGAAACAUAUGGUGUGACACUUUUCUUUAAGAAAAACUAUAGCUAAAAUUUUGCAGUGUAGAUUUUAUUGGCCUACCAUAUUCAAAGACACAUAUCAAUUUUGCAAAACUUUAAAAAAUUGUCAAAAAUUGGGAUCAAUUACUAAAAGAACACAUGAUGCCCUUAAAUCCCAAACUUGAGAUUGAGAUAUCGACUGUUGGGGAAUUGAUUUCAUGGGUCCGUUUCCACCAUAUUUUGGAUUUGUGUACAUAUUAGUUGCAGUUGAUUAUGUCUCAAAAUGGAUUGAAGCAAUUUCUUGUCGAAAUAAUGAUAGCAAAAUUGUGGUUAAAUUUUUAAGAGAAAACAUUUUAAGUCGAUUUGGAAUCCUUUGAGCUAUUAUCAAUGAUAGAGGUAAGCAUUUUUGUAAUAAGUCAUUUGAGUCUUUAAUGAAAAAAAUAUGAAUCUCUAAUGAAAAAAAUAUGAAAUUACACAUGAAGUUGCUAUCUUUUAUCAUCCUCAAACAAAUGGUCAAGUUGAAUUAGCAUAUAAGGAGAUAAAACAAAUUUUAGAAAAGACAGUUAACCCAAACCACAAAGAUUUGUCUCUUUGACUGACUAAUGCACUAUGAGCCUACCGUACUGCAUUUAAGACGUCUUUAGGAAUGUCACCCUAUCGGCUAGUUUAUGGUAAACCUUGUGACUUACCUGUUGAACUUGAGCAUAAAUUAUUUUGGGCUAUUAAAUCUUUUAAUUCAAAUUUCGAUGAUGUUGGUGAUGUCAGAAAAUUGCAAUUGAAUGAACUUGAGAAAUUAAGGAAUGAUGCAUAUGAAAAUUCAAGAAUUAUUAAGAGAAGACCAAAAUUUUUUCAUGAUAAAAGAAUUUUUUGGAAAACAUUUGAGAUUGGUCAAAAAGUGUAGCUUUAUAAUUCUCGUCUUCAUUUGUUUCUAGUAAAGUUAAAGUCAAAAUGGAGUGGCCCAUUUGUUGUAGAAAAAUGUAUAUCCAUAUAGGACUGUAGAAACUAAGAAUCCAAAGAACAAUGUCACAUUUAAAGUUAAUGGAUAAAGAUUAAAACCAUAUCAGGAAUACCAACCACGUGAAGAAAACACCGAAAACAAUUUGAGUGACCCACCAAAUCUUGAUUAAGUUUUUAAUUAGUGAUUUAACUUUUCAUUGUUACUUUACCGUUUGAAUGGUUUGACUAUCUUGAAUGAUACGUGUUAUCAUGUUUCUUGCUUAAGUGUGUUUGAUAAUUGUGUUUUUUUCAUCAUAGUACAUCAUGAGCACCUCAAUAAAGAAGAUUAUAUUCACACAUCUUAAAAACUUAUUGCAAGUGAAAUUUCACCUGAGAGGCUUGAUACAAAGUUGUAAAUCACAUCCAAUUUGGAAUCUGCAACCAUCAACAUUAGUGUCCUACGUUUAGGAUUUAGAAAUACAACUCAGAGAAAUAGAGGGUGGUAUAUAUGACUUCCUAUUAGAGCUUGAAGUUCACUCAAUAAGAGGACGAAUUGAGUCCAUUUUCCUUUUUACAUUGUGUGCUUUCUUUUUGUUGUUCACUUUCACAUUUGAUUUGAUUCUUUUCAUUUUGGCAUGUUUUGAUUUAUUUUCUCGUAUAAAUGGCGGAUAACGGUAGUCCAUGACUUCUUAAGUCGGUAUCCUCAGCUUCCCACAAUAACUGAGACCCCAAAAUUAGUUGUGGAAGAAAUACAACAUAAAUUGCAUAAGCGUUUUCCUUCUCUCCUUCAAAAUGCCCUCAAGAAAAUUUACAAAGCUCGUUGUGAACGAUUGUGUUUAUUAAUGGUCAAUGGAAUUUCGGUUAAUAUUUGUUGGUUAAUUGAAGCAAAGGUCUGAUUAGCUAGUGAGUUUCUUGAUCCAUUUAUUUCUUACAUGCCUGGUUUUGGUAAAAGCACAUUUGCUAAAAAAAGGAGAGCUAAAAGCUUGGCUUAGAAUGUCAUAACUGUGUAAGACGUAGUUGCAAAUGAGAAAUUUGUAAAUCUUUAGGAAUGAUCUCUAAUAAUCGAGAAGAUAGAAUUAAGUUCGUUAAAGAUGACCUGAGUAAAGAAUCAUUGGAUAAUAUCUUACGAUCUCUUGAGACGCAUCGAAGCGGACAUGUGCAAUAUGAGAUUCAUAGGUUAUGAUGACUAUUACAAAAAGAAAGCGCACAGUUUAGUCUUAGGAAUCUAACUCAGAAAGACCAUAUUUGCCAGUUUAUAAGAAAAUUGGAUGGGAAUUCGAUCCUUGACUCACAGAGGACGUUCAAGCCGUUAUCGGACGUAAAACCAGAGGAAGAUGUGAGCUACAAUCACAACUACCAGUAAAUAUCCUUUUUAUUUUGUUGUUCUUUUAUCAUUUGUAUUAUUGCGUUUAGUAGUGUGAUUUUGUAUUUAAUCAAUUUUUUCACUAUUUGCUUUUCUUUUAUUGUUUGCUUUUGAAUUAUUGAGACUUGAGCUUUACGCGUCAUUUGAAAAAUACGGCAACCCAUUUAUAGUUGUUUCUCAUUUUGUUUGUCACUAAGAUCUUUAAAUAUGAGCUCUUUUUCCAAACACUCAUAACUUGUUUUUGAAGAUUAUUCCAAUGGCAACAUAUUCGAGUAGACAAUUCAAAAAUAUUUGUUUGCUUUUCGGAUUUCAUUAUGGAAAAUACAAGGAAUUCGUUCAAGCAGUUGUAGAUCUUGGUCGUGUCAUAGGUAAGAGGAAACUACACCUUGUAUAUAGAGGAGGUGAUCGCGGGUUAUCAAAAUUUGUCUCAGAAGCUAUUUUUAUUAAAGGAAACUAGGUGCUAGGUAUCAUUCUACAAGCCCUAAAACCUUUGAGAUGCAUGUCCGACCUACCAAUUGGAGAAAAGUUAGUUGUCUCAAAUAUGCAAUAGCGAAUAUCGGAGAUGUUAAAUCAUGCUGACGCUUUCAUUUUCUUGCCAGGAGAUCUUGCAACUUUAGAGGCACUGAUUACAUUUGCAUCUUGGGCCUAUUUGAACAUCCAUAAAAAAAACCCAUCGGUUUGCUAAAUGUUAAUAAUUUUUAUGAUGGCUUGCUCACAUUCAUUAAUCAUGCAAUUAAGAAUAAUUUUAUUCCAGUCUCCGUGAAAAAAACUCUUUGUUUGUGCUUCUACUGCUAAUGAGUUACUUGAUCUUUUACAAGCUUACAAACCAUAGCCAUAUCCUACGACCUUAGCAUUGGAAUGUUGACUAAUGAUGGUAACCCUAGCCUUAGUAAGAAGUACAAGUUGGACUUAACUCUUUAGUUGUAAUUAUCUUCUUGGAGCGAUUAGGUAAUGUCUUCUAAACUCUACUUCUUUCCUUUAAGCUAUUGAGGAGAAUGUCUUGUUCUAGUUGGGAGGUGGGGAAUAGUUGACAGUUGUGGAAUAUCUCAAAUCCUAGUAAUGUUUUAUGUCGAAGAUGGCUGAGUAUGGGUGUAGUGACUCUAGAAAUGUAUCUUCUAUUACUUGUUCAGGUGUGAUUUUUCUUAUUUCUUAUUUUAUUAUUUAUGUUUUCUUUAUCUUUUUUGCCUUUUUGCAUGCAUAUCUUUAAAUCAUGAAUAAUGUUUUGAUUAGGUUGGGGGAGGAGAUAGUUGGCAUAAAUUAUAAAUAGGUGUGUUUAUUUAUUAUUUAAAAAAAAACCCAGAAAAGCCAAAAACAAGAUUUUUUUUCUAGGAUGGAUGUGUAAAGUGUUACGACUUUUGAGAUGCAUCCUAAUAGUUUCGUUGUAUUAUAUUUGCAUUUUAAAAUUCAUAAUAAGUUGUUUUUGUUCCAUUUUCUUUGAAUUACUCAAAUUUGUGAACUCUCCAUUUGGUUAUUAAGUCAUUUUGUUGUUUACUCAUUUAACAGGUAUUAUUAAAUCAUUCUUUACACACACACACACUAUGACCCAUACUAGUGGGUUUUAAGUUAAAAAUUUUGCAGCAUUUAGUUCUUUUGAUUUAUUAUGGAUAAUAUCUAAGGUAGUAGAAAGUGUAUUUUGCAGCAUUUAAUUUUGUUAUAUGUAGAACCCGAGUAAUUAAGUUAGAGGUGUCUCAACACCUAGUGCUCUAAGCCCAACUGGUCUGGGAGUAACUGGCCUAAAGCUGGGUACAUGGGUUAAAAAUAUUUAAAUAAUCUAUUACUUAAAGAUAGAAUUUCUAAUGAGUUUUAGAACGAAAAUGUUGUUUUCUUUUAAUGAAGCCCCAUAAGUAUUGUGUUAAUCACAUAAGCACAAAAGAAGAUUUAUAAUAUUCUGAAUAAUGAGUGAAUGACAAAGAGUUGGAAAAAUUUGAGAGAGUUUAUUUAUUUGGUAGUUUAGAGGAUAGAUGCACAACUAUUAAGUUGCAUGUGAAUUUUGUAAAUCAUAAUUUAAUAUUACCCUUUAAUUGCUAGGGGCUAGCAAUAAGCUAGUUGAGGGGUGUGAUUAUUGUUAAAAAUUGUAUGUUUAUUAAGGGGUAAAAAUGUUAUUUUGUGCUUAAAAUAUAAUUUACAUUUUUAAUUAUGUAACAUAUUAUGAAUUUCUAAUUAUUUUUCGAAAUAUUUGAUUUUAUGUAUUUUGUGUAUUUAUUAGGUAAAAAUAAUAAUUUCAUACAAUUUGAGGCUACAAACAAAUGUAUGGAUGUCAAAUUUAGAUUCUAGAAGUUCGAGAAAUUAGAUCAUUGUCGAGGAGGAUUCGUGACUUUUGUUGUAAAUUUAUUAGUUUUUACCACGGUAAAUGUAGUAAUUGUGAAAUUAUAAGUUUUUACUAUAUUAGGUGUGGAAUUGUUAGUGAAAUGUGUUGGAUGUACUUGAGUGAAUUAAGUUAGGUUUAUGUUUUGUUAAUAGGACAAAUAUAUGGUUAAGAUGUAAUUAACUUUAUUUAUUUGUGUGGUGUGAAUUAAUCAUGUAUUAAUAUAAAUAGAGAGGGGGAGAACACACCUCUCUACACUUUUUCUUCUCUUCUUUCCCUUCAAAUUCUUCUUCUCAUCUCUCUUUGUAAUAUAUUUUCAAUAAAUAAAACUAGUUUUAUUUCCAAUUUUCAAAUACCUUUUUUUUAAUUAUGUAUUUUUCAAUUUUAAUAAUUCCUUUUAUUUCAAAUAGCUAAAUAUUAAUAGUUAGGGGAAGGUGAAACUCUUAGUGAAAAAAUAUGAUUUAAACAAAUUUUAUUUUUAAUUAUAUAAAUUAAAUUAUUUUCCAUAUAAUUUUAUCCAUAUUUUAUAUUUUGAAAUUUUGAUUUAUUGUAGACAAACAUGGGGUUUCGCACAAUGAAUUCUUAAUAUCUUAGUAUAAAGUAUGGUAAAAUGGUAUUUUGACUUAUUGUAGAUAAAUUAAAUUUUGGCACACUAAGUACUUAAUCCAUAAUAAAAUUAUUGUGAAAAUAAUUAUAAUUUAUACAAUUAAUCAUUUGGGCAAUAAACUAAAAAUAAAAAGAAUUUAUUAAAUUGUAUUUGUUACUAAGAGUGGAUCAUAACCCUAACUAAUUUAAUUUUAUAAUUUUGCUCAAAUUAAAUUGCAUAUAUUAAAUUUUAUUUUCAUUGUUUUCGAUAAACUUAAAUAAACAAAUUAAAUAUUUUCUCUGUGGACCGACUUUGGACUCACCGAUCUAUAGUAUAACUAGCCACUUUUAUACUUGAGAGUAAAUUAAACAUUUUUUAGUCGUAUCAAAGUUCUAGGCCAUUUUUAUUGAUGCCUUGGAACCUCGUGUUGCAAUGUUCGAAACUUCAUUAUUUGACGCACAGGAAACCCUCGAAAUUUUGAAAGAAAGGGUUGAUAGUCUAAAGGGUGAGUCUAUCAACUUUACAGUAGCCACCAAGGCCUCAUCCAAGACUAAGCCAACACCGUUCGAGGGGAGUUUCGAGCAUUCUAUGAUGAGUUGCUUAAAGUCAUAGCUUUGUGUAAAAUCGAGGCACAUGCGAUUCAUUAAAAGGUGGAGGAAGUCUACUCUGAUUGGGCCGGUUAUACGGGUACACUCACAUAUAGUAUUGCUUUCGCAAGCUCGAGUGAUGCACACUAAAUCAAUGUGCCAAAGCCUGAUACCUACGAUGGAACUCAGAAUAACAUUAUCGAGGACAACUUUUUCUUCAGGCUAGAAUAGUACUUUGUUGCCGUUGGUUUGUAAGAUGAGGCAUUGAAAGUAAGCAUGACACCUACAUAUCUUUAAGGUUACUUAACUAUAGUGGCGAUGGAAGCAUAGAGAAAUAGGCAAAGGCAUCUACACUAUAGACAUGGGCAAAUUUCAAGUGAAAACCCCAAAAAUAAUUUUCCGUAAGCAAUGCCGAAAAAGGGCAAGAGUGUGUUUAUGUUGCCUCGAGCAAACGAGUGGCAUCUAAGAUUACAUUAACGAGUUCGUUAACCUUAUGCUUGAGAUUAGCCUCCUAGCGGUAAGAGCAGGCAAAACAAAUCAGAUAGAAAGAAAAAAGCACCCCGACCUCGAAGCCCAUAAUUUAUAUACAACAGCCCACGUAAAGUACGCAGCCGUUGAAAAAGAAAUCGUUUAAAACUCAAUACCCUUGCUGCUCAGCUCAAGGGCAACUCUACAUUGCCAGCAAAGGAACCCUGAUCUAUUAUGGGUUCCCUUUAACAUUUUGGCGCUCUGAAGAGCCAACCGCUAACAGCUGUUCCAGCAAAGGAAUGGCUCAUAUACGUAAGUGCAUCCAUUAAUAGCCAAAUUGUUCGUGCGCUGCUAGACACAAGAACAACACACAACUUUGUAUCGAAAGAUGAGGCCAAUUGUUAAGGCCUCAAGGUAACUAAGGAAAAAGGCACCAUGAAAGUGGUAAUCUCACUUGCCAAGCCCAUUAUGGGCACCGUACAAAGUUAUAUAUGUAAUGCUUCGAACGUGGAGUGGAACGCUCAAUUUCUCCAUCGCGCCCAUGGAUGACUUCAAGAUAGUCCUUGGCAUGGAAUUCUUCAAUCAAAUCCAUGCCUUUCCAUUGCUAGCCAUAAACUAUCUAAGAAUUUUCAACAAAAGGAAGGCAUGCACUAUUCCUGUGGAGUGCGUCAAGUCCAAAAAGAAGAUGCUCUCGGCAAUGCAAUUUAAGAAUCCUUUCAAGAAAGAACCAUGUUUCUUAGGCUCUAUCCAGGAGCUUAAUGAAGUGGAAGAUUUUGGAAAUGCUCCAAACUAAGUCCUUCAAUAAGUACAAGUUAUCCUCGAUUUGUUUAAGGAUGUUAUGCCUUCCAAGCUUUUGAAGAAGCUCCCACUUAAACAAGAGAUAGAUCACGAGAUCAAGUUGGAACAAGGUGCCAAAACUCUAGCACUAGCUCCUAAUUGUAUGGCAUCACUAGAACUCGAAGAGCCCCAAAAAACGCUUAGUGAUUUGUUGGAUGCUGCCUACAUUUGCCCGUCUAAAUCUUCAUUCGAUGCACCUAUCUUAUUAAAAAAAAGUAAGGAUUGCUUUACGAAUAUGCAUCGACUAUAGAGUGCUAAUAAGAUCAUUGUCAAGAACAUGUAGCUGAUUCCCUUGAUAGCGGAUUUUUUUGACCAACUUGGCGAAGUGCAAUAUUUCACCAAGCUUGACUUGCGCUUCAAGUACUAUUAGGUUUGCGUCACCAAGGGAGAUGAACUAAAUACGAAAUGUGUCACUAGGAACAUAUCUUUCAAAUUCUUUGUUAUAUUGUUCGUCCUCACCAAUGUACCAGCCACGUUUUGCACUCUUGUAAAAUAAAGUCCUCCAACCGUUCCUCUACAACUUCGUUAUGGUAUACUUGGACAAUAUUGUGGUAUGCGGCACUACAGCCAAGGAAGAUGGCCAACAUUUAUGAUAAGUUUUCCAAGUAUUAUGAAAGAAUAAACUCUACCUCAAAAUGAAAGAGUGCUCUUUUACUUAACGAGAAAUAUAGUUCCUAGUGUACAAAAUAAUAAACGAUAAGCUAUUGAUGGAGAACUUUAAGAUGAAGGUCAUUCUCUAGUGGGAACCACCUAUUCAACUAAGGCGACACCUUUGAUAGAUCUACAAAUGAAGAAUCUAACGUGUUAUUGAUCCAAAGAAUGCAAGUAUGCACUCGAAGAUAUGAAAAAGGCAAUAUCUAAGGAACUUGUCCUUGUUCUUCUGAACCACACGAAACCCUUCGAAGUUUAAACGAAUGUUUUCAACUUCGCUAUUGGUGGAGUCCUUAUACUAUACAAAAAAAGGAAAUGAUGGUCAUCAUCCAUUGUUUGUGAGUGUAACAACACUACUUGCUUAAUGGAUACUUCACGAUCGACGAAGAAUGUAUCAACGAACUAUUUUUAAAUGCAAAAGAAGUUGAACCCAAGCAAGCAAGGUAGCAAGAUUUUCUUGUGGAUUUUGAUUAUCGGCUCAAAUACAAACUAGAAAAAGCCAAUGUCAUCAUAUAUGCUCUAAGUCGCAAGGCACAAUUGGAAUUACUAAGCAUGAGCUAGUCAAACUCCGACCUUCUCUAAUGCAUCAAAGAAUACCUUCAACAAUAUUUUUAGCUAAAUACCUCUUACAAAAAGUUCUUGAGGGUAAAAUAUGGUAGUUUUGAUGAAAAGAAGGCAACCUCCUUACUGAAAGAGACUGGCCAUUAGUGUUUCAGUAGGAAAACUUGUGAAGAGAAGUUAUCAAGGAGUGCCAUGACUUAAAAUAUGCUGGCCCCCCUAAAGUUGACUACACUAGUCCAAGCUUCAUAUUUUUAGCCAUACAUGUGACGUCAUCGAUGCAUACUUGCGGAUUUGUCUUAUUUGCCAAUAAGAUAAAGUGGAUCACUACCCUUUAUCAGAAUUAUUAGAGCUUUUGCCACUCAUGCCAAGGCCAUGGGAAAGUGUAUCCAUAUACUUCAUUAUAGCCUUGCCCAAGUCUAAUAGGUACGGAAACAUCAUGGUAGUAGUCAAUAACUACAACAAGUAUGCGACCUUCAUCACUAUACCUGCUAAUUGUAAAACUUAUGAAGUCGCUCUUUUUUCAUUGAGCACAUCGUGAAGCUAUGGGGAGUUUUGAAGAACAUAGUGAAUGAUCAAGACCUUUAAUCCACUAAUUGCUUUUAGACAAGGCACUUCAAAUUAUUGGAAAACGAACUCAAGUUCUCAAUGAGUUUCCACCCGCAAACUGAUGAGUAGAACGAGUGCAUCAAUGGCCUUCACAAGAUGUAUUUAGGUAUUACAUGUGCACUAAUAAUCAAGAUUGGGUGAAGCUACUAGACUUGGUCUAAUUCUUGUACAACCUUCAAUGGAGCAAAGCAACCAAUAAAAGUCCAUUCGAAAUCAUCAUGGGAUUUCAGCCAUGAUCCCUAACGCCAUAGCCUCGACAUAUUAAGGAAAACGCCCUACGGCUUAAAAGCUCACUUAAGAUAACAUAAAGAAGUGGAUUUUACGCGAGCUUAUCUCGAUAAAGCUGCAAGAUAUGAAAAAAUAUGCAAACACAACGAGACACCACAUCAGGUAUAAAAAAAGAGAUCAAGUCAUGAUCAAGCUUCUAGGCCAAAAGUUUAAGACUUUGCGCAAAGUUUCUCAAUUGUUUGACGUGUGGGCAACAUUUUGUACCAGCUCCAACUUAUGCCAAAACUCAAGAUUCAUCUGGUCUUCCAUGUAAGCCUUCUUAAGCCAUACCAUGGAGAUGUAGCUAACCUACGUCAUAGUGAAUCAAGACGUGCCCCCAGCAGCCGUUGUCGCAAUGUUUAACAAAGAUGUGGAGUACAUUCAUGCCGAUCGAGUCAUUUGAAGAAAAGGCAUACCAGCUUACAAUAAGUACUUGGUGAAGUGAAAAUCCCCAAUAGUGAAGUCAGUUGGAAUGCGAAGAGAAUCUAUGGCAAUUCGCGGAGCACAUUCAAAGGUUCAAGCACGAAAUUGCAACAAGGAUGCCGUGAGCAUAGGUGGAGAAAGUUGCAAUAGGCCACCCCAAAUUCCAACCCAAACACUCAAGAUUCUAGGCACAAGAGCCUAAAUCCAAGUCAAUGUGUGCCCAAUUCUAGAAUUCUCCAAUAAAACUUUAGCACGUCUCUCUUGUAUAUAUCUAGAACCUUCCACACAUGUGCAUGCUUAGAAAUAUCUAGAUUUUUGUAGCAAGUUACGCAAGUUGUAUAGAAUUCUCUAGAAUUGGCAAGUCUCCCUUAUAAGUAGGGCAUGGCACUUGUCAUUUUAGACGCAUAACUCAACAAGCAACUCGAGCAUACUUGUGAAGCUCUCAAGCUUUCUUUUAUAAGCUCUUUCAGGUAAUAAAUUUUUGCUUUCAUUAUAUUGCUCUCUCUUAUUUCUAUCUUUUUGUAAGCGUUUUUGUUAUCUAAUUUGAGGAGUUUGAUAAAUUUACCUAACGAUUUUUGGUGCAGUUGUCUAAGUGCCUCAUGGUUUUACUGCCAAAAUUCUAAUCCUGUUAGACAUGGACACUUAAAUAACUUUUUUCAUACAACACUAUUUUGGGCAUUAAACUUUAAUCGGAGAGUUUGAACUAAAAUGAUUUCCUAUUUUCAUGAACAUUUUCAAUAGUUAAAUGAUUAAUACUUAUAUCGUUUUUCUUAGUAAUCAAUUAAUUCUCAGAACAUUUGAAUAAGUGUUAUCUUUAAGCUGGCAGUAUGUGUUCUUUCUAGAUNNNNNNNNNNNNNNNNNNNNNNNNNNNNNNNNNNNNNNNNNNNNNNNNNNNNNNNNNNNNNNNNNNNNNNNNNNNNNNNNNNNNNNNNNNNNNNNNNNNNCUUUCCAUUCAUUUCUUCCACAGCAUUGUUUCAUAUUUCCACUUUUGUUAUCAUUAUUUCACACAGACAGCGAUGGGAAUUAAAUAAUGUUUCUUUCCAGUCUCAUCCACCCGGAGUGCUUGUGUCUAUUUUUAACAAUAUCACUCAAAAUUAAGAUUUAAGAUUAGAAAGCGAGGAAAAAGAGAAAGGAGCCAUGUUUCUAAUCACUAGCAUAUUUUCCCCAUUACCUCCUUCAUUGUUUAUCAAAACAAUGUGUGUGGUGAAUGUUGUAACAAUGGCAAAUCUAGGCUACUCAGAAAUCAAGGGAAAGCACUUGAAAUAUUCAAAGUUUUGGAACUUCAACUCUGACAAAUCUUCAAACAACAAGGAGAUUAAACUUUCAGCCAAAACCGGCAUGCUUUUUCUUUAUACGCCAUCGUUUCUUGCGGGUCUUGCUUCAUUUUGGCUUUUCCCUCAUGAGGGCUUCCGAUUUAUGUUGCUCACUUCUGCUCUAACUGUUCAUUUCUUCAAAAGAAUCGUUGAGGUAAUGCAUCCGCAUGCUGUUAAUCAAAUUUCUUCUUGAAUUCAUAAGCAUGCUCCUUUAAUUGUUAAGGUUUGAAUCAAUUACCUAAUUAGAUCUUUUAUUUUAAAAGAUCUAUAUCGCUUGAUUAUUCUCUACUUUUUCAUAUGCUGCAUUUUAGAUUUUUUGAAUUGUUAAGUGAUUUUAACAAAACAAAAUUGUUUAAUUAACUUUAAAGAGUUAGAACUAACAACAAUAAAAAUAAUGAAGGAGACAUAUUGAGUAAUUUUUUAAAAUAUAAGGCUAACUAGAUUGGUAAUUGGACCAAGUUUUUUUCUGUUGGCCUCAAAUUUAAAUACUAAAAGAGGUAGGGAGCUAUAAAAUUAAGGGAGACUGCUAAUUUUCUUAUUAUUGAAAUCAAUAUAUAAUACUUAUCCUUUAUUGUUUUCAUAAUAGCUAAAAACAUAAUUUUAUAGCAUUACCCUUAUUUUCUAUAUAUUUUUAUUCUUAUUUACUGUAAAUUAAAUAAAUCAUAUGAAUAAAAAUUAGAACAAACAAGUUAAGUACUAAAAACAAGAAAUAUAUGUUUUGAUGUGAAUAAAAACUUAGUAAUAAGAUAUUUUUCUUGUAUUUUUAUUAUUUUAUAAAUACAAGAAAAAUAUCUUAUUAAUUCUUUUCAUCUCAAAACAUAUUUAUUAUUUUUAAUACUUAGUUUUUUAUUUUAAUUUUCAUUUACAUGAUUUAUUUAAUUUAUAAUAAAUACAAAUAAAAGCAUAUUUGAAAAUAAUGGUGAUACUGUAAAAUUAUACUGGCAGGGUUAUUGACUAUUAUGAAAACAGUAAAGGGAUAAGUGAUAUAUAUUGAUUUUAGUAAGGGGAAUUGAUAGUCUUCCCAAAAUGAAUUUAGGUUUUAUCCAUCCUUUUACCUUUUGAAGAAACAAUAGUGUAGCUGACCUAAAUACCAGUGACUAAAGGAAAGAUGCCCAUAUAAAAGGAUAGAUAUAUAAAAUCUAAACAAAUAAAAAAUAAAGCUAUAUAUAUAUAUAUAUUCUAAAAAAUAAAAAUAAUUUUUUUUUACUGUAUUUUACAGGUGUUGUUCAUUCAUAAAUAUAGUAGCGGGAUGGUUCUUGAUUCUGCAAUCGUUAUCAGUCUAAGUUAUUUGAUAAGCACCGCAGCAAUGAUAUAUGUUCAAAGUGAAGGAUUAGGAGAGCCAACUAUUGAUUUGAAGUUUUUGGGGAUGAUUCUAUUUUUGUUGGGAAUAAGCGGCAAUUUCUACCACCACAAUCUGCUUUCAAAAAUGAGAAGAAACGGUGAAAAAGAAUACAAGAUUCCCACGAGUGGUUUAUUUGAUAAAGUUGUAUGCCCCCAUUACUUGUUUGAGAUAUUAGGGUUUUGGGGCAUCUUUUUCAUUGCUCAAACUCUGUAUGCAUUUUGCUAUGCUAUAGGUGUAACUUUUUACUUAAUGGGAAGAAGCUAUGCAACUAGGGCAUGGUAUCUUUCCAAAUUUGAAGACUUCCCCAAACAUGUCAACUCCAUUUUUCCAUAUAUUUUUUAGAAAGGAAAGAAAUUAAUUCCAAUAAAAAUUGAAUUUUUCUGAGUUGCAAAGACGAUGUUAUCAACUUAUUUUCUUCUUUUCCUGCCAAAGCCAAAGGUUCUAUAUAGAAAACUUGUUGGGCUGCUUUGCUUAAUUAUUCACUUAAUUUGGCAACCAAACUGUUUUAAUGAUGCUCAGAUUUUUGCCAUCAUUUCUGUGAUUAGGUGGUUUUUGCAAAAGCUUGGCACUCGGAUUUAUUGUCCUUGACUUGAUUGUUGUAGCGAUGUGCCUUAAAAUAAUUCUAUCGCACUUGCUUAGGGUAUUAAAGUUUAUGAAAUAAUUAAAGGUAGGUCUUCUUCACAUGCUUAAAUAUUUUACUUCUAAUUUUAAAGAAAACAAUAAAGUUUUAUAUCUAUAUAUAUAUAUUGUUUGGGAAGGAAAUAUGAGGCUAAUGAUGAAGCGCCACGUGUCGAUAUUUAAGAGAUUAAUUUAUUUCGGAUACCUUAGGUACCUCGGGUACCCUAGGUACCCCGGCUACCCUAAGGACUCUGGGGGUACCUCAGGUACACCAUGAGAGGAUACAAAAAUCUUCGUAAAUAUGUGAAGGAAUAUGUGGGCCCUGAAUCUCAAAAAGAUCGGUUUGAUACGUGUCGAAAAAUAAGGAAAUCUUGUGCCGCGAAAGAGGAGACAGCCGCCUGUCACGCCAGCGAAUCCGCCAAAAGUGUGAUAUUGUGACAGUUGGGACCACCAGCUUUUCCUGCUAUACCUGCAAAAUUACAACGGAAUUGCAGAGGUACGCGGGACCACUCCACUACGCCCAACACGUGAAUAUGCCACAUACUUGCUCUCCACUGAUGUUUUUGAAACGUCUAAGCCGCCUUACGCAUAAAAAUAAGAAUAUUCCUGACAUGACAGCAGGGAACGCCACUAAAAUAGCGCCAGGUGGCACGGCGACCGGGGUACACCAUAUAAAUACUCAGGUUUAAUUUUUAUCAAGGAGGGGAACACACUCACCAAAAAAAACGAAGGUUUCUUCAACCUCAAAAUCUCCAUUACCGAGAGCUUGCAAGCUCUCUAACCUGAGAUAACCCAACUCUGACUUGAGCGUCGGAGUGUGGUCGCCGGCCACCCCCGGCUCCACCUUUGACAUCUUUUUGGUUGUUUCGCAGGUUUAAGGCGAGUUUCACCAGCCCUCCGCACCUGAAGUCAGACCCCCUCCAUAUCCACCGUCAUCUCAAUCCUCCUUCACUCCACAAAAAUCCCAAACAGCCCGCACGUGCCGAACAAGCGAGGUACCCCGCUCCCCGACAAAAAUAUAAAUUUAUUGCUCUUGCGUUGGUUUUGUGGUUUUUUAUUCAUUAACCCAAAAUCAGCCGAAAACAAUUGGCGCCGUCUGUGGGGAUACGAGCAAAAAGCUUCCACACAGUGCUAAGCUUGUCGGUACGUGUGCUUGCACAACCAUGGCACCCGACGUACCCGCUGAUAACCAAAUGUUAGGUCAUGAUGGAGCAGAGGACCACGGCGGUGAUGAGAGGGGUGACUCG
Molecule: long non-coding RNA, 19102 nt
Filed under: Citrus x clementina
Lineage: Eukaryota; Viridiplantae; Streptophyta; Magnoliopsida; Sapindales; Rutaceae
Description: Citrus clementina (C. clementina) long non-coding RNA (CCLE_LNC005202)
Source: RNAcentral